Molecule: long non-coding RNA, 313 nt
Filed under: Homo sapiens (human)
Lineage: Eukaryota; Metazoa; Chordata; Mammalia; Primates; Hominidae
Description: non-protein coding SNHG8:3
Source: RNAcentral
GUUCUAUAAGAGAGCGUGUGCCGAAGGCCUCGGCCUUUCACAUUCGGGAAGCGUCGGGAUUAGGUGAAAGAAGCUGAGCUGAACACAUUACGAUGGAUGAUGGAAACAUAAGACUAUCAAGAAAUCCAAGUGGUAAUGGGCGAAGUUUAUUCAGCAUCCGGCAAUGGACUUAUCGUAGUUGGGGAAACGGGUGUUCCGAAUAAUAUCCUGGAAGUUAUCAGGACACCUAUUUUAAAUAUAGGCCUGAAUUUUGUAAAGUAAUAUUUAAGGUGGUCCGUGAUAAUUAAAUAAAAUGCUUAAUUCAUGUGGCUAC